This is a long non-coding RNA of Setaria italica (foxtail millet), 992 nucleotides long. RefSeq lists it as uncharacterized. NCBI's taxonomy places the organism in Eukaryota, Viridiplantae, Streptophyta, Magnoliopsida, Poales, Poaceae. The transcript has 2 exons. The record is from RefSeq and is a predicted model, not a curated record.
GGAGGCAGCAUGGAAGAAGUCAUGUACUGGUGAUCAAUGGUGUUAUCCUCACGUACGGCAGCCUUCUCAUGUUGGAUUUGGAAAGAAAAGAACAGGUCCGGAGUCGAUUCUUGAAAAGGAACAGACCUUGGACGGUGAAACGUUGCCCUCGUUACAAGCUGCCGAGACAGAAGAAGUCAAACAUUACAAAAUGGGUUCUCCGUUCUUCUGAGAUGAAAAAAUCAGAACGAGACCACCUGCAUGCUUGGAUUAUAUAUUAUACUCAUCAAUCAUCAUUGCGUCACUGAUCAGAGCCCAUUGGCAAACAGGUAGCCGCCUAUGACCUACCUUAAUGAUGAGCAAAACAAUUCCACAAGUUUGAACUUUGAAGCCGUCAACAAGCUACAGAUAUCGCCGUCAACAAGCUACAGAUAUCUUUAUAAAUAUUCCAGCUGCACUCCUCCUUACCAGCCCAGCACUGAGGUAGCCUUGUGAGCCCAGAGAAGCAUUGUCUCCAGCCAUGAGCCUGAGGUUGGGAGCCAUACGAUCUCUUGCCCUCGUCUUCUUCGUGAUGGCGGUUCUAAUGGCCAUCAGCUCUGUAGCCGCCAUCCGUGGUGGCUCUGGUGGAAUUUGCGAGACACCAAACCCUCCGAGCAGACAACCUGGGGGUGGAGGUUGUGGUCCGCCCCCGUGAUUGAUAAGGUCCACGAAGAUUAUCUUCUCUCCCCCAAUACAUGAGUGUGUAUGUGUGAUGCCUGUGAGGCUGUGAGAUUGAGAUGCUAGGUGAACCGGCAAACUCAUUAGGCCAUAUGCAUGGUUCUUCUUUAUGGAGCAUUUGAGAAGUAGGAAUUUAAACUUGUGAAAUGUCAAAGUGGAUUCCGUAUAUAUCAUGGGUCAUGGGUGCGUAUUAGAGUUGAGCACUUUAUUCUCUCUUGGUCAACUAUAUAUAUGUCGACGUGUAAUAGCAAUAAUGUUGAUAGAACCAGAUAGUUCAGUUUAUUAGUUCUUGCAAA